Molecule: ribosomal RNA, 1365 nt
Filed under: metagenome
Description: bacterial LSU rRNA
Rfam family: Bacterial large subunit ribosomal RNA
Source: RNAcentral
UUGAUACCGAGCCGCUUCAGGCGAAGUCAUUAAUCCUAUGCUGCCUAGAAAAGCCCAGUAGCGAGUUGACAUGGUGCCCGUACCCCAAACCAACACAGGUGGACAGGUAGAGCAUACCAAGGCGAGUGGGAUAACUAUGGUUAAGGAACUCGGCAAAUUUCCUCCGUAACUUCGGGAUAAGGAGGACCCCAGUAGCGUGACGAGACUUGCUCUCCGAGCGUGAAGGGGUGGCACAAAAUUGAGGGAAGCGACUGUUUACCAAAAACACAGCAGCGUGCUAAGCCGUAAGGCGCUGUAUACGCUGUGACUCCUGCCCGGUGCUGGAAGGUUACGGGGAUGGGUUAGUCCUUUGGGACGAAGCUCUGAACCUAAGCCCCAGUAAACGGCGGCCGUAACUAUAACGGUCCUAAGGUAGCGAAAUUCCUUGUCGGGUAAGUUCCGACCUGCACGAAUGGAGUAACGACUUCCCUACUGUCUCAACCAUAGACCCAGCGAAAUUGAAGUACGAGUAAAGAUGCUCGUUAGCUGCAGAAGGACGGAAGGACCCCGUGGACCUUUACUAUAACUUGAUGUUGUGUUUUGUCAUAUGUUGUAGGAUAGGUGGGAGACAAGGAAGCAUGGACGCUAGUCUGUGUGGAGUCAUCGUUGAAAUACCACCCUGCAUAUGGUGAGGCUCUAACCUAGACCCGUUAUCCGGGUUGGGGACAGCGUCAGGCGGGUAGUUUAACUGGGGCGGUUGCCUCCUAAAGAGUAACGGAGGCGCCCAAAGGUUCCCUCAGCCUGGUUGGCAAUCAGGCGUCGAGUGCAAUGGCAAAAGGGAGCUUGACUGCGAGACCUACAAGUCGAGCAGGAGCGAAAGCUGGGCAUAGUGAUCCGGCGGUUGCGUGUGGAAGCGCCGUCGCUCAACGGAUAAAAGGUACCCCGGGGAUAACAGGCUAAUCUUGCCCAAGCGUCCAUAGCGACGGCAAGGUUUGGCACCUCGAUGUCGGCUCAUCGCAUCCUGGGGCUGAAGCAGUCCCAAGGGUUGGGCUGUUCGCCCAUUAAAGCGGUACGCGAGCUGGGUUCAGAACGUCGUGAGACAGUUCGGUCCCUAUCCUCUGUAGCCGUAGGUGAAUUGAGGAAAGCUGUCCCUAGUACGAGAGGACCGGGACGGACGCAGCUCUCGUGUGCCAGUUGUCCUGCCAAGGGCAUGGCUGGUUAGCGACCUGCGGAAAGGAUAACCGCUGAAAGCAUCUAAGCGGGAAGCCUCUUCCAAGAUGAAUUCACCCACAGGGUUAACCUGGUAAGGCCCGUGGUAGACCACCACGUUGAUAGGCCGGAAGUGUAAGCGUGGCAACACGUUCAGCUGACCGGUACUAAUCGGCC